RNAcentral lists this ribosomal RNA (536 nucleotides) under Morganella morganii. RNAcentral's name for it is "partial 23S ribosomal RNA". It matches the Rfam family "Bacterial large subunit ribosomal RNA", at positions 2413 to 2925 of the family's 2925-position model. The record is from RNAcentral. Lineage: Bacteria; Pseudomonadati; Pseudomonadota; Gammaproteobacteria; Enterobacterales; Morganellaceae.
UAGUGAUCCGGUGGUUCUGAAUGGAAGGGCCAUCGCUCAACGGAUAAAAGGUACUCCGGGGAUAACAGGCUGAUACCGCCCAAGAGUUCAUAUCGACGGCGGUGUUUGGCACCUCGAUGUCGGCUCAUCACAUCCUGGGGCUGAAGUAGGUCCCAAGGGUAUGGCUGUUCGCCAUUUAAAGUGGUACGCGAGCUGGGUUUAGAACGUCGUGAGACAGUUCGGUCCCUAUCUGCCGUGGGCGCUGGAAGAUUGAGAGGGGUUGCUCCUAGUACGAGAGGACCGGAGUGAACGCACCACUGGUGUACGGGUUGUGAUGCCAAUUGCAUUGCCCGGUAGCUAAGUGCGGAAGAGAUAACCGCUGAAAGCAUCUAAGCGGGAAACUUGCCUCGAGAUGAGUCUUCCCUGACCCUUUAAGGGUCCUGAAGGAACGUUUGAGACUAAGACGUUGAUAGGCUGGGUGUGUAAGCGCAGCGAUGCGUUGAGCUGACCAGUACUAAUGAACCGAGAGGCUUAACCUGACAACACCGAAGGUGUUU